CCGGACACACUGAGGAUUGACAGGAAGUAUCGUCUUUUGAAUUCUUUAAGGAUAUGUCGUUUUUAAUGACAUCUUUUAGAUGGAUGAUUCGUGUAAAUAUGCUAGUUCUUUCAUGAUUAUGUGAUAGGUGGUGCAUGGCCGUUCUUAGUUCGUGGAGUGAUCUGUCUGCUUAAUUGCGUUUCACUAAGGCCCCAAAGUUAGCAAAUUAUCAAUCGUUACAGAGUCGACCCCUCACCUUUGAGUGCGCGUCCUAACUUGUAGUACAUGGUGUAAAUGGAUUUGUUUUGGGUACCCAGAAAGCAACGAACGUGACCGCAACGUCUUGUUGUCUCUCUUUGACAGUUAUGGGUUAUCCCAGUCAUGUGUUUAUACUUUUAUGUGUAAAUACGUACGACACAGAGACUAGAUACCAAACUAGGCGUACCGCUGUAUCAUUUCUUUAAACCAGAGGAAGGUUGCGGCAAUAACAG
This 470-nucleotide ribosomal RNA is filed under the name Neogloboquadrina incompta. Its description in RNAcentral is "bacterial SSU rRNA". It matches the Rfam family "Eukaryotic small subunit ribosomal RNA", at positions 1224 to 1459 of the family's 1831-position model. Lineage: Eukaryota; Foraminifera; Rotaliida; Globorotaliidae. The record is from RNAcentral.